GACGAACGCUGGCGGCGUGCUUAACACAUGCAAGUCGAACGGAAAGGCCCUGCUUUUGUGGGGUGCUCGAGUGGCGAACGGGUGAGUAACACGUGAGUAACCUGCACUUGACUUUGGGAUAUCUUCAGGAAACUGGGGCUCUUACCGGAUAUGAGCUCCUGCUGCAUGGUGGGGGUUGGAAAGUUUCGGCGGUGGGGGAUGGACUCGCGGCUUAUCAGCUGGUUGGGGUGGUAGUGGCUUACCAAGGCUUUGACGGGUAGCCGGCCUGAGAGGGUGAACGGCCACAUUGGGACUGAGAGACGGCCCAGACUCGUACGGGAGGCAGCAGUGGGGAAUAUUGCCGAAUGGGCGGAAGCCUGAUGCAGAAACGCCGCGUGCGGGAUGACGGCCUUCGGGUUGUAAACCGCUGUCGCCGGUGACGAACCGUGAGUGACGGUAAUGGGUAAAGAAGCACCGGCUAACUACGUG
This 468-nucleotide ribosomal RNA is filed under the name uncultured bacterium. RNAcentral describes it as "partial 16S ribosomal RNA". It matches the Rfam family "Bacterial small subunit ribosomal RNA", at positions 28 to 507 of the family's 1533-position model. The record is from RNAcentral.